RNAcentral lists this ribosomal RNA (117 nucleotides) under Castor canadensis (American beaver). The record is from RNAcentral. Lineage: Eukaryota; Metazoa; Chordata; Mammalia; Rodentia; Castoridae.
GUCUAUGUCUAUACCACCUUAAAAAUACCUUAUCUCAUCUGAUCUUAGAUGUUAACCAGGGUCAAGCCUGGUUAGUAAAAAGAUAGGAGAUGAAAGGGUAGAUCAUGGCAAUGUGCU